UUGAAUUUCCAGACGUUGAUACUGUAGCUUUCUUACAAGUACCUACAAUUUCCACAUAUGUAUGACAGGAUGGCUGAGUCUGCAAUUUUCAAAUUCUGUAGAUUAUUGCAAGAGCAAAUGAGUUGGGGAAGAAUCCAAUAAAUUUAAGCAGACGAUAUUGCGAAGAGUUUCAUUGUGAUAUGUCAAAUCUACAUUGUCUUCCUCCUUCAGUGGAACCUCGAGUGUCUGAUCACAUUCCAGAAAUCAUUGAGAUGAUUAAGCAGGUACCUCUUUCUUCUUCUUUCUUUGGUGCCUUGGGAUAAAGAAAUUUCUCUUGCAGUUUGUCCACCUCUAUUGAAAGUGUUUACCAUUUAUUUUAUUUUAUUCUUUUAUUUUGGCAAAAAAUUUGUAUAUUUAUGGAGGAAACUCUAAAUAUACGCCCUCAGUUGCAUUGAAAACUUUAAUUUGAGUAAUCCAAGAUCAAAUCCCUUUUGUCCUUGUAGCUCUGGAAAGGAAAUUGUUCCUGGAUAUUUUGUAGACAUUGUAAACUAGUGAAAAUUCAUUUUUCUUUUAAUUUGAACUCUCAAGUUCAUGAUUUUGCUUUGAUCUAUCUCUUUAUCCUUAGAUUUUGACAUUACAAAGAAACUUAGCAUGUUAGCAUUAAGUGGAGACUUUAUGCUUUUGUGACAGAUACUUGAUAAUGGGUGGGCGUACACUCUCCAAGGUGAUGUGUACUUCUCUGUAGACAACUUCCCCUACUAUGGACGAUUAUCUGGCCGUAAGUUAGAAGAUAAUAGAGCGGGUGAACGGGUGGCAGUGGACUCAAGGAAGAAAAACCCAGCUGACUUUGCAUUAUGGAAAGUAAUUGCUUGUAACUUCGGCUGUGUUCAUAUGUAUUUAGAAAAAAAUGUAUUUAUACAUCUAUAGAUGGUUGCAAAGCAUAUAUGUAUACCUGCCUUAAUAUUUAGGUAAAUGAUAGUUGCAUCCUUUAUUGAUUGUCAUAAUUCAGGAUACCUUUCCUCAUGAUUCUUGAAUUUACUUUUACCCUCAAUAUUUUCAUUCAAUGUUAUUGAUGGUAGGUUCGAUUUUAUGAGUUUCAUUUAUAUUUUUAUACCAGAAGGGAGGUUGGUUUAAUCAAUCUAACUAGAGCAUAAGAUAGUUUACAAUUCUUUUUUACUGACCACAUUCACUUCCUUAAUAAUAGUGGGGCAAGAAGGACAUUCAGUAUUCACUUUUCAGUUAACUAGAGAGAAGUUUGCAUCAGCAUGGUUGUUGAAUUUCAUCCUUGUUCAUUGUGAAGGUCUACCAUUUUUUUCCAAUCAUUCUAGUGCUUGUCUUCUGUUUACAGUCUGCAAAGGAGGGAGAACCUUUUUGGGAGAGUCCGUGGGGUCCUGGUAGACCCGGAUGGCAUAUCGAGUGCAGUGCCAUGAGCGCUACUUAUCUAGGUUAUUCUUUUGACAUUCAUCGUGGGGGAAUGGAUCUUAUUUUUCCCCAUCAUGAAAAUGAGAUAGCGCAAAGCUGUGCUGCGUGCCAUAAGAGCAAUGUAAGAUAUUGGAUACAUAAUGGAUUUGUGACUAUUGACUCGGAGAAGAUGUCAAAGUCUCUUGGAAACUUUUUCACAAUUCGGCAGGUACAGGGAAAUAAAUUGUCCUCUCAAUCUCUCGCACACACAUACAUGUAGAAACAAAUAAAUUCCACUUGUUUGCAAUCUGACAACUCAAUAAUCUGAUAUUGUUCAAUGCUUCCAAUUUUAGUAGUUUUUCUCUAUUCUAUUUUCUUGACCGGUAUUAUUAUUAUUUUUUUUUUUUUUUAUUAUUAUUUUUUUUUCUAGGUCUUAGAACAUUAUCAUCCACUGGCUUUGAGACUUUUCCUAAUGGGGACUCAUUAUCGUUCGCCAAUCAAUUACUCAGAGAUACAGCUUGAAAGUGCAUCAGAGCGUGUUUUUUACAUCUAUCAGGUACAAUCCCCUCAAUCCUUGGGCUGGCACAAUGAAGGCUCGACUCUGUUUCAUUUUGUACUUAUUAAUUCCUUUUCUCCUGUAUCAAGCGUUUUCAUAGUUUGAAAUUUGAAUAAUUCAAAAGUAACUGCUUUUGCAAGGUCUCGUACCAUCAGAGUUCUGCAUGCAUUAUGCCCUAGUUACCGUGUGAUAUUGUGUUGACGCACUGCUUUACCACGCUUCCAAGCCUGUCCCUGUAUUCUAUAUUUUUUUAUCUCUUAACCAGGGGGCCAGGAGUUUCUCCUUCCUUCUUUUUUUUUUUUUUUUUUUUUUUUUCAAAUAAUAGAAAAAGAUUAUCUAAACAUAAUCAAUGCGACGGAAUAAUGGAAAAGAAAAGGCAAAGGAUGGAUUCAACUUUCGAUAUACAGAGGCUCUUAAUUUUUCAAGAUAAAAAUUUGAAAUGAAAUUGCAAGCUUCGAAUUAACUUCAAACCAAAAUUAACGUUUGUGAUGUAGUUGUGAGGAUAUGAUCACAUUGAAUCUUCGUAGCUAUGGAUGAAAUGAAGUGGUGAAAUAGAAUUUUAUGUAGUUGACCCCCAAUUUAUGUGGGAUAAGUCUUUUUUUGAAGUCUCUUUAAGCACAACGAAGAAUAAUCUUUCUAAAAUACUCUUUGUUGAUGCUCUUAUAUUUACACAACUAGAAUAUUGGGUAUUAGUUCGCUGCAAAACUUGUAUGUCUUCAUAUUUUAACUGUAAGGUCAGUGUAACAAAUAUGGUCAUGCUCUGGUUGCAGACAUUACAUGAUUGUGAGAAUAUCCUGUCCCAGCAUGAUGAGGCAAGCCGGAAACAUUCUAUUCCAUCAGGAACUACACUUUGUAUUGAUAAAUUUAAUGAUGAGUUUUUUUAUUUCAAUGUCUGAUGAUAUCCGUACUCCCGUAACUUUGGCUGCAAUGUCAGAGCCAUUGAAGACCAUCAAUGACCUUCUACAUACUCGUAAGGUAUUUUGGUUUUAGUCGCAUGAUUAAGCAAUUUUAUUUGUCGGUUCAAUUUUCCUAUAGUGGUAUAUAUCUAAAUGCUUGUUUUCUUCUUCAGUUCCAAUCAGAUAAGUAUUUUUUGUAGAUAAUCUAAAGCAUGGAUGAGAUAGUAGACAUAGUUUCCAGAAACAAUAAAUCUGUAUACUAAUUUACACUGUCUUUUUCGGCAGUGUAGUUGUUUCUUGGAUUUUAACAUAACUAUUGAUGUCUUUUUCAAUUAUGUGUUAUAAUCUUAUUCUCUCAUUGAAAGUUGAAUUAGGCUUAUUUGUGUCCUUUUAUGACCUCUGUUAUUCUCAGGGCAAGAAGCAAGAAUUACGAAUAGAAUCACUUGCAGCUUUAGAAAAUACCAUGAGAAAUGUUCGGACUGUUUUGGGACUCUUGCCAAGUAGUUACUCUGAGGUAAUAAGUCUCUGUCUCUGUCUCUCUGACGAACCUCCACACCCCACAAAAAAAAAAAAUGAAAAAUUUAAAAACAAACACCCUCCACAACCCACAAAAAAAAAAAAAGAAAGAAAAAUAUAAGAACGAAGAUUUGUUUAAUGUGCACGCAUUUAUGUGGGCCUUUGUGAUGUUCUCUAGAAUUUGAUGCUGUAUUUAAGUUGGCCUUGCAUUUUAGUUUUCAUGUUGCACUAGACGUGUUUUGUUUCUGAUAUCUAGCAAUCGAAUUGCAAGUCUGUUGCAAAAGGCAUAAAUUACUUACUUUCAUGUGAUUUUAAAAUCCUUCGAAAUUUUUAGUCACUCUCUUUUUAUUGCAUCUGCUUCUACCAAGUAAAACCAUCCUGCAUUGCUCAUCACCGAUGAUGUCAAUUUUUUGUGGCGUCAAUUUUUUUUAACGCUAUCUGCGGGUUUUAUUUCAAAAUUAGGCCUUUGUCAGGCAUUAUAAUCCUUAAUUAAUGAAUAAAAUUGAUUUUGAGCUUAUGGUUAUACAUGUUCCAGGCUUUGCAGCAGCUACGAGAUUAUGCACUGAAGCGCGUAAAGUUGACAGAAGAUCAAGUGCUACAGAAGAUUGAAGAAAGGAAUAGUGCAAGAAAAAAUAAGCAAUAUGAAGAAUCCGAUGCAAUUCGAAAAUAUUUGUCGGGUUUAGGCAUUGCACUCAUGGACAGCCCAGAGUGCACAACUUGGAGACCAGCUAUUCCUUUGGUUUUGAAAGAACAGCAGGUCGCAGGAAGCUGAAUCUGAUUGGAACAUACCGUUUCAUAAGUUUGCAAUGAAAGAUAUAAUGAAUCCACGGUUAACUCUUUAAAUUUGGAGAAUAGCAUAUGGGAUUUCACCAUGCAGUUUAUUUUGUCGGUGUAUUUUAGUUGAUAAAACAAUCAUGCCUGAUGAAAAUGCUUUCACUUAUUCUCAAGCCGUUUAACUUUCUUUGUUGUAAGCAUGAUGAAUUUUUGUUCUGUUCUUAAGGGGACAAAAAAGGGGGGGAGAGGCUAUUUUCACCAGUGCAUUCUAUUGCUUGUAGUUAAUGAAGGUAGUCAUCUUGUGGACUCGAAUUUGAACCCAGUUUCUUGGUGGAAGAAGAAUUUUAUUCCAGAGGCUCAGAUUUACAAGGUUAUCAAUGUACAGAAAAAUCAAUUAGAGCUUCUCAAAUUCGAAGUUCAGUUUAACUCAGUUUUAAAAUUAGCCAAUGCUUUACAAGUUGUGCCAAAUAUUGACACAAUGACAAUAAAAUUUAUGAACUGUACUCUUGUCGAUAGUUUACUUACCCCAGCCUUAAAUCUUC
Molecule: long non-coding RNA, 4664 nt
Filed under: Olea europaea subsp. europaea
Lineage: Eukaryota; Viridiplantae; Streptophyta; Magnoliopsida; Lamiales; Oleaceae
Source: RNAcentral